UACAGAGGAGCCAAGCGUUGUCCGGAUUGACUGGGCGUAAAGCGCACGCAGGCGGGUGCGCGCGUGGGGUGUGAAAUCUGGCCGCUUAACGGCCAGGCGCCAUCCCAUACGGCGCGUCUGGAGUGAUGCAGAGGUCGAUGGAAUUGCCGGUGUAGUGGUGAAAUGCGUAGAGAUCGGCAGGAACACCCAGGGGGAAACCAGUCGACUGGGCAUCUACUGACGCUGAGGUGCGAGAGCGUGGGGAGCGAACCGG
This 253-nucleotide ribosomal RNA is filed under the name uncultured bacterium. RNAcentral describes it as "partial 16S ribosomal RNA". It matches the Rfam family "Bacterial small subunit ribosomal RNA", at positions 524 to 776 of the family's 1533-position model. The record is from RNAcentral.